RNAcentral lists this ribosomal RNA (497 nucleotides) under uncultured bacterium. RNAcentral's name for it is "partial 16S ribosomal RNA". It matches the Rfam family "Bacterial small subunit ribosomal RNA", at positions 28 to 507 of the family's 1533-position model. The record is from RNAcentral.
GAUGAACGCUGGCGGCGUGCCUAAUACAUGCAAGUCGAGCGAACAGACGAGGAGCUUGCUCCUCUGACGUUAGCGGCGGACGGGUGAGUAACACGUGGAUAACCUACCUAUAAGACUGGGAUAACUUCGGGAAACCGGAGCUAAUACCGGAUAAUAUAUUGAACCGCAUGGUUCAAUAGUGAAAGACGGUUUUGCUGUCACUUAUAGCUGGAUCCGCGCCGCAUUAGCUAGUUGGUAAGGUCACGGCUUACCAAGGCAACGAUGCGUAGCCGACCUGAGAGGGUGAUCGGCCACACUGGAACUGAGACACGGUCCAGACUCCUACGGUAGGCAGCAGUAGGGAAUCGUCCGCAAUGGGCGAAAGCCUGACGGAGCAACGCCGCGUGAGUGAUGAAGGUCUUCGGAUCGUAAAACUCUGUUAUUAGGGAAGAACAAAUGUGUAAGUAACUAUGCACGUCUUGACGGUACCUAAUCAGAAAGCCACGGCUAACUACGUG